This 801-nucleotide ribosomal RNA is filed under the name Purpuricenus temminckii. RNAcentral's name for it is "partial 12S ribosomal RNA". The record is from RNAcentral. Lineage: Eukaryota; Metazoa; Arthropoda; Insecta; Coleoptera; Cerambycidae.
AACAGUAGGAUUGAAUUUUUUUGGUUUCAUAAAUUUGUUAAUUAAUGGCUAUAAUUAGAAAUUUAUUAGGUGAAAUUUUAAAUUUUUAAAAAGCUAAAUUUAUUGGGGAAUUGGGAAAUUUAGGCACUAAACUAGGAUUAGAGACCCUAUUAUUCUAAACGUUAAUUUAUAAGGCCAGAUUAGUAUUAGCUAUGUUCUUGAAAAUUAAAAAUUUUGGCGGUAUUUUAGUCUAUUCAGAGGAACCUGUCCUAUAAUUGAUGAUCCACGAUAAGAGAUACUUUUUCUUUAAGUUUAUAUAUCGUCGUAGUUAGAGUAUUUUUAUAGAAAAUAAAUAUUCAUGAUUUUUUUAGAAAGGAAAUCAGAUCAAGGUGUAGCUUAUGAAAAAGGAGAGAUGGGUUACAUUAAAUUUAUUUAUUGGGAUUAGUUAGUUUAUUUAACUAUGAAUAUGGAUUUGAUAGUAAUUUUAAUUAUUUUUUUAAAGUGAUUUUAGCUCUAAAAUAUGCACAUAUCGCCCGUCGCUUUCACUUUAAAGUGAAAUAAGUCGUAACAAAGUAGGCUUACUGGAAGGUGGGCCUAGAGGCGAGUCAGAGCUUGAUUAGGAAGCGUUUUAUUUACAUUAAAGAGUUAGUUGUGAAAUUCAAUUUGACUUGAUUUUUACAAAUUACUUGGUUUAUUUUUUUUUGUUUUGUUUUUUGAAAAAUAUAUUUUUAUUUAUUAUUUUUUAGAAUAAUUUUUUUUUGUGAUAGUUUACUAGUACUGUGAAGGAGUUUUUAAGAAAAAAUAAAGAAGGUUUAAUUUGCU